AUGGGUGACUAUCUAGCACGGUUCAGAGAGCACGUGUAUGUAGUCUGCGCUGGUGAAUGGAAGCCCCCGCCGAAAAAAAGAAGCGGCUCUUCCCACGGCUCUGUCACCAUUGACUCUAUUUAUUAUUAUGGUAAAUCAUUGUAUCAAGAUGUCAAUCUUAGAUCUUAUUUUAGUUCGAUACGUCCACCUACGAAACUUGCCCUUGGCUUUCGUCUCGGUAGGUGUAUUAUUCUACAUUUUCCCAAAAGGACAUUCAUUCAUUUCUUUCUUCCCGGGCGACCACCACGACUAAAACGAAAACAAGACAAGAAAUCAAGACCCGUACUACAGGAAAAGGGCUGGUGGCCGACAUUUGGGAAAGUCGGGCCGAUCGGGUGUCUUCAUUCAAGCGAGGGUACAGAGGAAGAACGAAACGAAGUGAGAGGCCGGGGGGCAGGGAAAAGAGUCGAGUCGAUCGACCGGGAGAAGCAAAACGAAAUCCGGAUUUGGCCGAAAAAGAUGUAA
RNAcentral lists this ribosomal RNA (504 nucleotides) under Triticum aestivum (bread wheat). RNAcentral's name for it is "partial small subunit ribosomal RNA". The record is from RNAcentral. Lineage: Eukaryota; Viridiplantae; Streptophyta; Magnoliopsida; Poales; Poaceae.